This 340-nucleotide long non-coding RNA is filed under the name Malus domestica (apple). Its description in RNAcentral is "long non-coding RNA (MDOM_LNC011747)". The record is from RNAcentral. Lineage: Eukaryota; Viridiplantae; Streptophyta; Magnoliopsida; Rosales; Rosaceae.
GGCAGGAGUGACAUAUUUGAUUCAGACAGCCCACAUUACCCGGAUGGAGUUCACUCUUCACUCUUAGAGCCUGGUGAUUCUUCAUAUGUUUUCGAACCUGAGCAGUCUGACCUUUCCCAAGAUGAAGAAGAUAACUUCAGCAAAAGCCUGCUGCCUCCAUACAUCUUCCCAAAGCUUGAAGAUGUUGAUUACUCCGAUACGCCUGCAAAUUCCUGUAAUUUCGGAUUCCCGAUGGAAGAUCAUGCCUUUUGGUCCUGGUCUUACUGAGUUUCUUCUGCAAAAUUCGAAUUCCCGGGUUAUUAUCUUCUUGUUUAAAGUAUGGCAUAGAAGUGAAAAUAAG